Molecule: ribosomal RNA, 440 nt
Filed under: uncultured bacterium
Lineage: Bacteria
Description: partial 16S ribosomal RNA
Rfam family: Bacterial small subunit ribosomal RNA
Source: RNAcentral
CCUACGGGAGGCAGCAGUGGGGAAUAUUGCACAAUGGGGGAAACCCUGAUGCAGCGACGCCGCGUGAGUGAGGAAGUAUUUCGGUAUGUAAAGCUCUAUCAGCAGGGAAGAAAAUGACAGUACCUGACUAAGAAGCCCCGGCUAACUACGUGCCAGCAGCCGCGGUAAUACGUAGGGGGCAAGCGUUAUCCGGAUUUACUGGGUGUAAAGGGAGCGUAGACGGUUAAUCAAGUCAGAAGUGAAAACGCAGGGCUCAACUUGGGGACUGCUUUGGAAACUGAGUAGCUAGAGUGCAGGAGAGGUAGGCGGAAUGCCUGGUGUAGCGGUGAAAUGCGUAGAUAUUAGGAGGAACACCAGUGGCGAAGGCGGCUUACUGGACUGUAACUGACGUUGAGGCUCGAAAGCGUGGGGAGCAAACAGGAUUAGAUACCCGGGUAGUC